This 482-nucleotide ribosomal RNA is filed under the name uncultured bacterium. RNAcentral describes it as "partial 16S ribosomal RNA". It matches the Rfam family "Bacterial small subunit ribosomal RNA", at positions 28 to 523 of the family's 1533-position model. The record is from RNAcentral.
GACGAACGCUGGCGGCGCGCCUAACACAUGCAAGUCGAACGGAAUUAAGAGGAGCUUGCUUCUUUUGAUUUAGUGGCGAACGGGUGAGUAACGCGAGUAACCUGCCCUGGAGUGGGGGACAACAGUUGGAAACGACUGCUAAUACCGCAUAAGCCCACGGUACCGCAUGGCACUGAGGGAAAAGGAUUUAUUCGCUUCAGGAUGGACUCGCGUCCAAUUAGCUAGUUGGUGAGGUAACGGCCCACCAAGGCGACGAUUGGUAGCCGGACUGAGAGGUUGAACGGCCACAUUGGGACUGAGACACGGCCCAGACUCCUACGGGAGGCAGCAGUGGGGGAUAUUGCACAAUGGGGGAAACCCUGAUGCAGCGACGCCGCGUGGAGGAAGAAGGUUUUCGGAUUGUAAACUCCUGUCGUUAGGGACGAUAAUGACGGUACCUAACAAGAAAGCACCGGCUAACUUCGUGCCAGCAGCCGCCGUAA